CAUAAAAAACAGUAAAAUAGGAGAAAACCAAACAAACAAAUCAAACAUAUGCACUAUUUUCAUAUUAAAAAUCAAACAAAUAGUAACACAGACAGAUAUGAAACUUGAAACAACUGAUCGGAUCGAAACCACGACGCCAAUGACCUUGACAAGAAUUCAAAUCGUAAACGCCAACAGAAAUGUAACGCAAUGACAGUUGCACUUACUUUUCGAGAUUUAAUCAAAUUUCGGACAUAAAACAGAGAUAUAAAGGAGAGGGGAUUGACCUGAGCAAUAUUACUUUAACUAGUUUGAUUUGCAAAGCAAUUACAAGCCGAAUCCAAACUGUAACAGCAACGAAGAAUUCGACCAUGAACCUCGGACGGCGACGAACCAGCUUCAAA
This 383-nucleotide long non-coding RNA is filed under the name Nicotiana benthamiana. RNAcentral describes it as "long non-coding RNA (NBEN_LNC008647)". Lineage: Eukaryota; Viridiplantae; Streptophyta; Magnoliopsida; Solanales; Solanaceae. The record is from RNAcentral.